RNAcentral lists this ribosomal RNA (253 nucleotides) under uncultured bacterium. RNAcentral describes it as "partial 16S ribosomal RNA". It matches the Rfam family "Bacterial small subunit ribosomal RNA", at positions 524 to 776 of the family's 1533-position model. The record is from RNAcentral.
UACAGAGGGUGCAAGCGUUAAUCGGAAUUACUGGGCGUAAAGGGCGCGUAGGCGGAUGUACAAGUUAGAUGUGAAAUCCCCGAGCUUAACUUGGGAACUGCAUUUAAGACUGUGUAUCUAGAGUAGAAGAGAGGUAAGUGGAAUUUCCGGUGUAGCGGUGAAAUGCGUAGAUAUCGGAAAGAACACCAGUGGCGAAGGCGACUUACUGGAUUCAUACUGACGCUGAGGCGCGAAAGCAUGGGGAGCAAACAGG